UACGGGGGGAGCAAGCGUUGUUCGGAUUUACUGGGCGUAAAGGGAGCGUAGGCGGCCACCGCAAGUCGGUUGUGAAAUCUCUGGGCUUAACCCAGAAAGGUCAACCGAUACUGCGGGGCUAGAGUGCAGAAGGGGCAACUGGAAUUCUCGGUGUAGCGGUGAAAUGCGUAGAUAUCGAGAGGAACACCUGCGGCGAAGGCGGGUUGCUGGGCUGACACUGACGCUGAAGCGCGAAAGCUAGGGGAGCGAACGGG
This 254-nucleotide ribosomal RNA is filed under the name uncultured bacterium. RNAcentral's name for it is "partial 16S ribosomal RNA". It matches the Rfam family "Bacterial small subunit ribosomal RNA", at positions 524 to 776 of the family's 1533-position model. The record is from RNAcentral.